Molecule: ribosomal RNA, 497 nt
Filed under: uncultured bacterium
Lineage: Bacteria
Description: partial 16S ribosomal RNA
Rfam family: Bacterial small subunit ribosomal RNA
Source: RNAcentral
GACGAACGCUGGCGGCGUGCCUAAUACAUGCAAGUCGAACGCUGAAGAGAGGAGCUUGCUCUUCUUGGAUGAGUUGCGAACGGGUGAGUAACGCGUAGGUAACCUGCCUUGUAGCGGGGGAUAACUAUUGGAAACGAUAGCUAAUACCGCAUAAUAAUGGAUGACACAUGUCAUUUAUUUGAAAGGGGCAAUUGCUCCACUACAAGAUGGACCUGCGUUGUAUUAGCUAGUAGGUGAGGUAAUGGCUCACCUAGGCGACGAUACAUAGCCGACCUGAGAGGGGGGUCGGCCACAACGGGACUGAGACACGGGCCAGACUCCUACGGGAGGCAGCAGUAGGGAAUCUUCGGCAAUGGGGGCAAACCUGACCGAGCAACGCCGCGUGAGUGAAGAAGGUUUUCGGAUCGUAAAGCUCUUUUGUAAGUCAAGGACGGAUGUGAGAGUUGAAAGUUCACACUGUGACGGUAGCUUACCAGAAAGGGACGGCUAACUACGUG